AUGGUCACAUCACAUUGAAGCACCAAUUCCUGUACGUUCACUGAAGUUAAGCAACGUCGAACUUGGUCAGUACCUAGAUGGGUGACCGCUUGGGAAUACCAGGUGCUGUAAG
Molecule: ribosomal RNA, 112 nt
Filed under: Acanthosepion pharaonis
Lineage: Eukaryota; Metazoa; Mollusca; Cephalopoda; Sepiida; Sepiidae
Source: RNAcentral